RNAcentral lists this ribosomal RNA (497 nucleotides) under uncultured bacterium. RNAcentral's name for it is "partial 16S ribosomal RNA". It matches the Rfam family "Bacterial small subunit ribosomal RNA", at positions 28 to 507 of the family's 1533-position model. The record is from RNAcentral.
GAUGAACGCUGGCGGCGUGCCUAAUACAUGCAAGUCGAGCGAACGGACGAGAAGCUUGCUUCUCUGAUGUUAGCGGCGGACGGGUGAGUAACACGUGGAUAACCUACCUAUAAGACUGGGAUAACUUCGGGAAACCGGGGCUAAUACCGGAUAAUAUUUUGAACCGCAUGGUUCAAAAGUGAAAGACGGUCUUGCUGUCACUUAUAGAUGGAUCCGCGCUGCAUUAGCUAGUUGGUAAGGUAACGGCUUACCAAGGCAACGAUGCAUAGCCGACCUGAGAGGGUGAUCGGCCACACUGGAACUGAGACACGGUCCAGACUCCUACGGGAGGCAGCAGUAGGGAAUCUUCCGCAAUGGGCGAAAGCCUGACGGAGCAACGCCGCGUGAGUGAUGAAGGUCUUCGGAUCGUAAAACUCUGUUAUUAGGGAAGAACAUAUGUGUAGGUAACUGUGCACAUCUUGACGGUACCUAAUCAGAAAGCCACGGCUAACUACGUG